Molecule: ribosomal RNA, 450 nt
Filed under: uncultured bacterium
Lineage: Bacteria
Description: partial 16S ribosomal RNA
Rfam family: Bacterial small subunit ribosomal RNA
Source: RNAcentral
GUGGGGAAUAUUGGACAAUGGGCGAAAGCCUGAUCCAGCCAUGCCGCGUGUGUGAAGAAGGUCUUCGGAUUGUAAAGCACUUUAAGUUGGGAGGAAGGGUAGUAACCUAAUACGUUGCUACUUUGACGUUACCGACAGAAUAAGCACCGGCUAACUUCGUGCCAGCAGCCGCGGUAAUACGAAGGGUGCAAGCGUUAAUCGGAAUUACUGGGCGUAAAGCGCGCGUAGGUGGUUCAGUAAGUUGGAAUUGAAAUCCCCGGGCUCAACCUGGGAACUGCUUUCAAAACUGCUGAGCUAGAGUACGGUAGAGGGUGGUGGAAGUUCCUGUGUAGCGGUGAAAUGCGUAGAUAUAGGAAGGAACACCAGUGGCGAAGGCGACCACCUGGACUGAGACUGACACUGAGGUGCGAAAGCGUGGGGAGCAAACAGGAUUAGAAACCCGGGUAGUCC